AAAGAGAGGAUUCUUUACCCUCCAGCCCACUCCGGUGGUGUCGGUUGCUACCUGUAAGAUUAUUGCAUGGACUCCCACCAACAACAAGAUCGAAUCCACCAAAUGAGUUCAUCAACUGCUCUAACCUGUCAGCAUUCAGUUGUUGCACAUCCACAAUGUCAAUCAAGUUCCCUGUCUGGUUGGUUUGCUCCCACCAGCACCUAAUAAUAUUUCUGUUUACUUCUGAGAUCUCAACAGAAACAACGUUCUUCAAUCGAAUCCCCAGCCGAUGAAGUGCAACUUCUGCACCACCAAUCCCAGAGAAAAGAGAAAGAAGAUUGAUUCCCCCAGGGAACAAGUCUUUCAAAACUGACAGAUGGUAGGCAACAGUAUCAACCUGGAAUGAGUUACCAAGUGAUUUAUAUCUAUCAGUCCUACUUAUUCCACCUCCCCUUGUGUGGUUCCUCGGGAAACCCAAAAGCAUUUCUACUUCAUCUGGUUCAAGUGGAGCAACUUUAUUCCUGCCAACCCAGACUAGAUUCCAUUUACGGCAUUCAUCAAGAACAAACUUCUGGAUGGAUAAAGGUGGAUCUCCUUCAUAGUCCUCAAUGGCUUUGCGGAUCCUAUCUGUCAGUUUUGCACUCCCAACGCAAGUCUGCAAGCAAUUUAGUUGUGUCCUUGCGUCCCAUGAAGGCCACCAUUUCUUUGUCAAAGGUAGUGCUUCAUGUA
RNAcentral lists this unclassified non-coding RNA (708 nucleotides) under Hevea brasiliensis (rubber tree). Lineage: Eukaryota; Viridiplantae; Streptophyta; Magnoliopsida; Malpighiales; Euphorbiaceae. The record is from RNAcentral.